RNAcentral lists this ribosomal RNA (210 nucleotides) under uncultured bacterium. RNAcentral's name for it is "partial 16S ribosomal RNA". It matches the Rfam family "Bacterial small subunit ribosomal RNA", at positions 111 to 334 of the family's 1533-position model. The record is from RNAcentral.
UAUCGCGUAGGGAUUUAUCGUUGGGUGGGGGAUAACCGCGGGAAACUGCGGCUAAUACCGCAUGACGCCUGUGGGCCAAAGGUCGAGAGACUGCCUGAUGAGGAGCCUGCGUCCGAUUAGCUAGUAGGUUGGGUAAUGGCUGACCUAGGCUAUGAUCGGUAGCUGGUCUGAGAGGAUGAUCAGCCACACUGGGACUGAGACACGGCCCAG